UUCCGGCGCUGCCCCUCGGGAUGGCCGCCAGAGGGCAGACGUGGGGCAUCCGUGGGGUCACAAGGCCUCAGCGGACUUGGAAAAAGGAGCUGAAAACUCUCUUCAGGGCAGAUGCCAAGAUCACACCAAUGGGUGGAACUGCAGGAUACAAACGGUUGUGGAUGCCAUCCUGUGCUGCCCAGAUCCCCCUUCGGGACUGAAGGAUUUAUUCCUGCUCCUCCACCCCACCCCUGCUUCUAGCUGAGCUCCCUGCCCAAGAUUACACCUUCCCAGGGCAGCUAGCAUUCAGUAACUGGUCACUGUGGGGUAAAAAUAUGGCUCCCUCAGUCCAGCUCGAGCAACCCUGGAGGGCAAUCCCAGCUCCAGAGCGCCUGUGGGGUCUACUGAGGUCCUUCUGUGGCUGCACUGCUACCUGACUUCUCCCUUUGCCUAAUGCUGCUUCCCCUUCCUCCCCUCAUGGGCAUGGCUUCCAAGAGCACUCCCCAAUAAACUCCUUGCAGCUCAA
Molecule: long non-coding RNA, 505 nt
Organism: Neofelis nebulosa (Clouded leopard)
Lineage: Eukaryota; Metazoa; Chordata; Mammalia; Carnivora; Felidae
Exons: 2
Source: RefSeq, a predicted model, not a curated record